Molecule: non-coding RNA, 24 nt
Filed under: Arabidopsis thaliana (thale cress)
Lineage: Eukaryota; Viridiplantae; Streptophyta; Magnoliopsida; Brassicales; Brassicaceae
Also listed under: 1 other name
Source: RNAcentral
UAAGACAGCAGGACGGUGGUCAUG